RNAcentral lists this ribosomal RNA (352 nucleotides) under Paramesotriton labiatus (spotless stout newt). RNAcentral describes it as "partial 12S ribosomal RNA". It matches the Rfam family "Bacterial small subunit ribosomal RNA", at positions 848 to 1370 of the family's 1533-position model. Lineage: Eukaryota; Metazoa; Chordata; Amphibia; Caudata; Salamandridae. The record is from RNAcentral.
UAAACUUAAACUUUGAUUUAUCCGCCAGAAUACUACGAGCAACAGCUUAAAACUCAAAGGACUUGGCGGUGCUCUACACCCCCUAGAGGAGCCUGUUCUAUAAUCGAUAAUCCACGAUAAACCUCACCCUCUAUUGCCAAUACAGCCUAUAUACCACCGUCCAGCCCACCCUUUAAAGGGCCAACAGUAGGCAUAACUAUAAACAUAAAAACGUCAGGUCAAGGUGUAGCAUAUAAGAUGGGAAGAAAUGGGCUACAUUUUCUAGUUUAAAAAACUACGGAAAAGCUUGUGAAACAAAACUAUAAAGGAGGAUUUAGCAGUAAAAAGAAAAAAGAGUGUUCUUUUUAAACCG